Long non-coding RNA from Xiphophorus couchianus (Monterrey platyfish), 578 nucleotides. RefSeq lists it as uncharacterized. The record is from RefSeq and is a predicted model, not a curated record. The transcript has 2 exons. NCBI's taxonomy places the organism in Eukaryota, Metazoa, Chordata, Actinopteri, Cyprinodontiformes, Poeciliidae.
CCUUUCUCCGUGGGAGAGUUGCCUUUUGCGGGCCGAUCCUCCGAGUCCACGCUGAUCUUCACUCUCCGUUCCAACACUGCAACACCUCCACCUGCAGACGACGACUCAAAGAUGCCGGGAUGAGGGUGGAGGUGUUCAGACUCGGCCUCGUUUACGAGCCGCUCUGCGCUCCGCCAGGGUCCAGCGGUGACAUGGAAACGGCUCAGCUCUGAAGACGACGCCCUCACAGCCCGGCCUGCUGUUCUGGGAUCCAGAGUCACCGGAGCUGGAAGACGUCAGGUAUUUAAUGGACAUCAAAGCGGGAAAACCGAGCUGACCAUGGUUAAAGUGCACGCGCAUGCGUGGGAGGACACUAACAAUAGGGGGCGAUUUGUUUCAUCUUCUCCCAAACGGCGUAUCGGAGGUUGCCUAAGUGUUUUGCCACGUUGAUUAGAGGCCUGUGAAUCCUCUCCGGCUUGGUGUUAGCGCACUCUGUGCUACAGUGAGUAAACAUGGACAGAAAAUCAGAUGAUUGUGAUUUUUAAUUUUUAAUUUUUGCUUUGUAUGGAUCAACAAAAUACGAUAAAUCCUCAUACCUA